RNAcentral lists this ribosomal RNA (450 nucleotides) under uncultured bacterium. RNAcentral describes it as "partial 16S ribosomal RNA". It matches the Rfam family "Bacterial small subunit ribosomal RNA", at positions 354 to 796 of the family's 1533-position model. The record is from RNAcentral.
GUGGGGAAUAUUGGACAAUGGGCGAAAGCCUGAUCCAGCCAUGCCGCGUGUGUGAAGAAGGUCUUCGGAUUGUAAAGCACUUUAAGUUGGGAGGAAGGGCAGUAAGUUAAUACCUUGCUGUUUUGACGCUACCGACAGAAUAAGCACCGGCUAACUUCGUGCCAGCAGCCGCGGUAAUACGAAGGGUGCAAGCGUUAAUCGGAAUUACUGGGCGUAAAGCGCGCGUAGGUGGUUUUGUAAGUUGGAGGUGAAAUCCCCGGGCUCAACCUGGGAACUGCCUCCAAAACUGCAUGACUAGAGUACGGUAGAGGGUAGUGGAAUUUCCUGUGUAGCGGUGAAAUGCGUAGAUAUAGGAAGGAACACCAGUGGCGAAGGCGACUACCUGGACUGAUACUGACACUGAGGUGCGAAAGCGUGGGGAGCAAACAGGAUUAGAUACCCGUGUAGUCC